AUUGAACGCUGGCGGAAUGCUUUACACAUGCAAGUCGAACGGCAGCACGGACUUCGGUCUGGUGGCGAGUGGCGAACGGGUGAGUAAUGUAUCGGAACGUGCCCAGUCGUGGGGGAUAACGUAGUGAAAAUUACGCCAAUACCGCAUACGAUCUAUGGAUGAAAGCGGGGGAUCGCAAGACCUCGCGCGAUUGGAGCGGCCGAUAUCAGAUUAGGUAGUUGGUGGAGUAAAGGCCCACCAAGCCAACGAUCUGUAGCUGGUCUGAGAGGACGACCAGCCACACUGGAACUGAGACACGGUCCAGACUCCUACGGGAGGCAGCAAUGGGGAAUUGUGGACAAUGGGCGAAAGCCUGAUCCAGCCAUUCCGCGUGCAGGAUGAAGGCCCUCGGGUUGUAAACUGCUUUUGUACAGAACGAAAAGGUUUCUACUAAUACUAGGAGCUCAUGACGGUACUGUAAGAAUAAGCACCGGCUAACUACGUGCCAGCAGCCGCCGUAA
This 500-nucleotide ribosomal RNA is filed under the name uncultured bacterium. RNAcentral describes it as "partial 16S ribosomal RNA". It matches the Rfam family "Bacterial small subunit ribosomal RNA", at positions 30 to 523 of the family's 1533-position model. The record is from RNAcentral.